RNAcentral lists this long non-coding RNA (494 nucleotides) under Olea europaea (common olive). Its description in RNAcentral is "long non-coding RNA (OEUR_LNC000916)". The record is from RNAcentral. Lineage: Eukaryota; Viridiplantae; Streptophyta; Magnoliopsida; Lamiales; Oleaceae.
UUUUUGCAGAUGAAUUUCAUAUUUGUUCUGGCAAAAGAGGAACAUCUAUAUGCGACAUAUCUCAACACUAUAGUUUGAAGUUCAUCAAGACGGUUCUUGAUAAAUGUACUUCCAAAAUUCUUGUCUUGGGUUCCUGACAAAUUUGCCUGACAAUAAACAUCUUAUUUUUACAUAGAUUGACAAACUAUGAUGUCAUUGAAGGAGUCCCUGAAGGGCACGUCAGCAUCGUCUUCUAGUGAAGGAGCUCACCCGAAGGUGCCCUCAAAUGCUACCAAUCCAAUUGAAAAUGAAGAAAUGGUAAUAAUGAAGAAACGACGACGCGAAUUCAAAUAUUGCAUGCUUCUAACCGAACUUCGUACAUUAGGAAUGGUAGGAAGUGAGGAAAAACAUGAAGUAGUUAAAAUUUGUUGAAUAGAAAACAUUGUCGUCCCUUUUUGAAUGGUUGAAAAUAGUGAAACUUGCAAGUUAUGAAGCUUAAUAAUCUAAUCUUUGUA